GAUGAAGAACGCAGCGAAAUGCGAUAAGUAAUGUGAAUUGCAGAAUUCAGUGAAUCAUCGAAUCUUUGAACGCACAUUGCGCCCGCCAGUAUUCUGGCGGGCAUGCCUGUUCGAGCGUCAUUUCAACCAUCAAGCCCCAGGCUUGUGUUGGGGACCUGCGGCUGCCGCAGGCCCUGAAAACCAGUGGCGGGCUCGCUGUCACACCGGGCGUAGUAGAUUUUAUCUCGCUCAGGGCGUGCUGCGGGUUCCGGCCGUUAAAAAGCCUUUUUACCCAAGGUUGACCUCGGAUCAGGUAGGAAUACCCGCUGAACUUAAGCAUAUCAAUAAGCGGAGGA
Molecule: unclassified non-coding RNA, 335 nt
Filed under: soil metagenome
Description: partial contains 5.8S ribosomal RNA, internal transcribed spacer 2, and large subunit ribosomal RNA
Rfam family: 5.8S ribosomal RNA (bases 1-120)
Source: RNAcentral